GCCGGAGUAGCUCAGCGGUAGAGCAGCUGUUUCGUAAAUAGCAGGUCAGCGGUUCAAGUCCGCUCUUCGGCU
Molecule: transfer RNA, 72 nt
Filed under: Candidatus Lindowiibacteriota bacterium
Lineage: Bacteria; Candidatus Lindowiibacteriota
Description: tRNA-Thr
Rfam family: tRNA
About the family: Transfer RNA (tRNA) molecules are approximately 80 nucleotides in length. Their secondary structure includes four short double-helical elements and three loops (D, anti-codon, and T loops).
Source: RNAcentral